This 2924-nucleotide ribosomal RNA is filed under the name Escherichia coli. RNAcentral's name for it is "23S ribosomal RNA". It matches the Rfam family "Bacterial large subunit ribosomal RNA". The record is from RNAcentral. Lineage: Bacteria; Pseudomonadati; Pseudomonadota; Gammaproteobacteria; Enterobacterales; Enterobacteriaceae.
GGGUUGUGAGGUUAAGCGACUAAGCGUACACGGUGGAUGCCCUGGCAGUCAGAGGCGAUGAAGGACGUGCUAAUCUGCGAUAAGCGUCGGUAAGGUGAUAUGAACCGUUAUAACCGGCGAUUUCCGAAUGGGGAAACCCAGUGUGUUUCGACACACUAUCAUUAACUGAAUCCAUAGGUUAAUGAGGCGAACCGGGGGAACUGAAACAUCUAAGUACCCCGAGGAAAAGAAAUCAACCGAGAUUCCCCCAGUAGCGGCGAGCGAACGGGGAGGAGCCCAGAGCCUGAAUCAGUGUGUGUGUUAGUGGAAGCGUCUGGAAAGGCGCGCGAUACAGGGUGACAGCCCCGUACACAAAAAUGCACAUGCUGUGAGCUCGAUGAGUAGGGCGGGACACGUGGUAUCCUGUCUGAAUAUGGGGGGACCAUCCUCCAAGGCUAAAUACUCCUGACUGACCGAUAGUGAACCAGUACCGUGAGGGAAAGGCGAAAAGAACCCCGGCGAGGGGAGUGAAAAAGAACCUGAAACCGUGUACGUACAAGCAGUGGGAGCACGCUUAGGCGUGUGACUGCGUACCUUUUGUAUAAUGGGUCAGCGACUUAUAUUCUGUAGCAAGGUUAACCGAAUAGGGGAGCCGAAGGGAAACCGAGUCUUAACUGGGCGUUAAGUUGCAGGGUAUAGACCCGAAACCCGGUGAUCUAGCCAUGGGCAGGUUGAAGGUUGGGUAACACUAACUGGAGGACCGAACCGACUAAUGUUGAAAAAUUAGCGGAUGACUUGUGGCUGGGGGUGAAAGGCCAAUCAAACCGGGAGAUAGCUGGUUCUCCCCGAAAGCUAUUUAGGUAGCGCCUCGUGAAUUCAUCUCCGGGGGUAGAGCACUGUUUCGGCAAGGGGGUCAUCCCGACUUACCAACCCGAUGCAAACUGCGAAUACCGGAGAAUGUUAUCACGGGAGACACACGGCGGGUGCUAACGUCCGUCGUGAAGAGGGAAACAACCCAGACCGCCAGCUAAGGUCCCAAAGUCAUGGUUAAGUGGGAAACGAUGUGGGAAGGCCCAGACAGCCAGGAUGUUGGCUUAGAAGCAGCCAUCAUUUAAAGAAAGCGUAAUAGCUCACUGGUCGAGUCGGCCUGCGCGGAAGAUGUAACGGGGCUAAACCAUGCACCGAAGCUGCGGCAGCGACACUAUGUGUUGUUGGGUAGGGGAGCGUUCUGUAAGCCUGUGAAGGUGUGCUGUGAGGCAUGCUGGAGGUAUCAGAAGUGCGAAUGCUGACAUAAGUAACGAUAAAGCGGGUGAAAAGCCCGCUCGCCGGAAGACCAAGGGUUCCUGUCCAACGUUAAUCGGGGCAGGGUGAGUCGACCCCUAAGGCGAGGCCGAAAGGCGUAGUCGAUGGGAAACAGGUUAAUAUUCCUGUACUUGGUGUUACUGCGAAGGGGGGACGGAGAAGGCUAUGUUGGCCGGGCGACGGUUGUCCCGGUUUAAGCGUGUAGGCUGGUUUUCCAGGCAAAUCCGGAAAAUCAAGGCUGAGGCGUGAUGACGAGGCACUACGGUGCUGAAGCAACAAAUGCCCUGCUUCCAGGAAAAGCCUCUAAGCAUCAGGUAACAUCAAAUCGUACCCCAAACCGACACAGGUGGUCAGGUAGAGAAUACCAAGGCGCUUGAGAGAACUCGGGUGAAGGAACUAGGCAAAAUGGUGCCGUAACUUCGGGAGAAGGCACGCUGAUAUGUAGGUGAAGUCCCUCGCGGAUGGAGCUGAAAUCAGUCGAAGAUACCAGCUGGCUGCAACUGUUUAUUAAAAACACAGCACUGUGCAAACACGAAAGUGGACGUAUACGGUGUGACGCCUGCCCGGUGCCGGAAGGUUAAUUGAUGGGGUCAGCGCAAGCGAAGCUCUUGAUCGAAGCCCCGGUAAACGGCGGCCGUAACUAUAACGGUCCUAAGGUAGCGAAAUUCCUUGUCGGGUAAGUUCCGACCUGCACGAAUGGCGUAAUGAUGGCCAGGCUGUCUCCACCCGAGACUCAGUGAAAUUGAACUCGCUGUGAAGAUGCAGUGUACCCGCGGCAAGACGGAAAGACCCCGUGAACCUUUACUAUAGCUUGACACUGAACAUUGAGCCUUGAUGUGUAGGAUAGGUGGGAGGCUUAGAAGUGUGGACGCCAGUCUGCAUGGAGCCGACCUUGAAAUACCACCCUUUAAUGUUUGAUGUUCUAACGUUGACCCGUAAUCCGGGUUGCGGACAGUGUCUGGUGGGUAGUUUGACUGGGGCGGUCUCCUCCUAAAGAGUAACGGAGGAGCACGAAGGUUGGCUAAUCCUGGUCGGACAUCAGGAGGUUAGUGCAAUGGCAUAAGCCAGCUUGACUGCGAGCGUGACGGCGCGAGCAGGUGCGAAAGCAGGUCAUAGUGAUCCGGUGGUUCUGAAUGGAAGGGCCAUCGCUCAACGGAUAAAAGGUACUCCGGGGAUAACAGGCUGAUACCGCCCAAGAGUUCAUAUCGACGGCGGUGUUUGGCACCUCGAUGUCGGCUCAUCACAUCCUGGGGCUGAAGUAGGUCCCAAGGGUAUGGCUGUUCGCCAUUUAAAGUGGUACGCGAGCUGGGUUUAGAACGUCGUGAGACAGUUCGGUCCCUAUCUGCCGUGGGCGCUGGAGAACUGAGGGGGGCUGCUCCUAGUACGAGAGGACCGGAGUGGACGCAUCACUGGUGUUCGGGUUGUCAUGCCAAUGGCACUGCCCGGUAGCUAAAUGCGGAAGAGAUAAGUGCUGAAAGCAUCUAAGCACGAAACUUGCCCCGAGAUGAGUUCUCCCUGACUCCUUGAGAGUCCUGAAGGAACGUUGAAGACGACGACGUUGAUAGGCCGGGUGUGUAAGCGCAGCGAUGCGUUGAGCUAACCGGUACUAAUGAACCGUGAGGCUUAACCUUACAACGCCGAAG